This 155-nucleotide ribosomal RNA is filed under the name uncultured bacterium. RNAcentral's name for it is "partial 16S ribosomal RNA". It matches the Rfam family "Bacterial small subunit ribosomal RNA", at positions 355 to 507 of the family's 1533-position model. The record is from RNAcentral.
UGAGGAAUAUUGGACAAUGGGCGCAAGCCUGAUCCAGCCAUGCCGCGUGCAGGAAGACGCAUCUAUGGUGUGUAAACUGCUUUUGCACAGGAAGAAACAUCCCUUCGUGAAGGGACUUGACGGUACUGUGAGAAUAAGGAUCGGCUAACUCCGUG